Molecule: ribosomal RNA, 254 nt
Filed under: uncultured bacterium
Lineage: Bacteria
Description: partial 16S ribosomal RNA
Rfam family: Bacterial small subunit ribosomal RNA
Source: RNAcentral
CUUUCUUUGCUGGCGACCGGCGCACGGGUGAGUAACACGUAUCCAACCUGCCCUUUACUCGGGGAUAGCCUUCCGAAAGAAAGAUUAAUACCCGAUAGCAUAAUGAUUCCGCAUGGUUUCAUUAUUAAAGGAUUCCGGUAAAGGAUGGGGAUGCGUUCCAUUAGGUUGUUGGUGAGGUAACGGCCCACCAAGCCUUCGAUGGAUAGGGGUUCUGAGAGGAAGGUCCCCCACAUUGGAACUGAGACACGGUCCAA